UUUUUCUCUUACCAGACAAAUGAGAUUGGCACUCUUUUUCUUCUUGGACACAGCCUGUUUUCUCAAAUUCUGGCAACUUGGCGUCACCUAUAAUUUAGAAUCAGGUUCCAAAUCCUCCACUUCAGGCUCGUAGUCUGGUAUUAUCCUAUCUUCUUUAAAUUUUAGGAGAGAAAUGGAUUGUCCGAAUUUGGAUAUUCAUGCUCGGAUUGUGAGUCUUCAAAUGAUUCCUCCACUGAUAUCAGUCGUUCGGAUUAAACUUUGAAAUUGGUAUUAUUAUCGUCACUGCUCCAAUUUUUUAUCGUUAUGCAUGUAAACCAAAAUUCCCUGCUUGGAGUUGUAAGACAAGUUAAGGAUCGAAAGAUAUAGGCCUAUAGCAAUGUGAUAAACAAAUACAAAAUAAAUUUAAACUC
Molecule: long non-coding RNA, 410 nt
Organism: Daphnia pulex (common water flea)
Lineage: Eukaryota; Metazoa; Arthropoda; Branchiopoda; Diplostraca; Daphniidae
Exons: 4
Source: RefSeq, a predicted model, not a curated record